AACGAACGCUGGCAGCAGGCUUAACACAUGCAAGUCGAACGCAUCGCAAGAUGAGUGGCAGACGGGUGAGUAACGCGUGGGAACAUACCCUUUUCUACGGAAUAGCUCUGGGAAACUGGAAUUAAUACCGUAUACGCCCUACGGGGGAAAGAUUUAUCGGGGAAGGAUUGGCCCGCGUUGGAUUAGCUAGUUGGUGGGGUAAAGGCCUACCAAGGCGACGAUCCAUAGCUGGUCUGAGAGGAUGAUCAGCCACAUUGGGACUGAGACACGGCCCAAACUGCUACGGGAGGCAGCAGUGGGGAAUAUUGGACAAUGGGCGCAAGCCUGAUCCAGCCAUGCCGCGUGAGUGAUGAAGGCCUUAGGGUUGUAAAGCUCUUUCACCGAUGAAGAUAAUGACGGUAGUCGGAGAAGAAGCCCCGGCUAACUUCGUGCCAGCCGCCGCCGUAA
Molecule: ribosomal RNA, 447 nt
Filed under: uncultured bacterium
Lineage: Bacteria
Description: partial 16S ribosomal RNA
Rfam family: Bacterial small subunit ribosomal RNA
Source: RNAcentral